GCCUCCGGUAGAGUGGUUAGUGUUCUAGUCUGGUAGACUGGAGGUGGUGGGUUCGAUUCCCACCUGAGGCA
RNAcentral lists this transfer RNA (71 nucleotides) under Lucilia cuprina (Australian sheep blowfly). It matches the Rfam family "tRNA". From Rfam's summary of the family: Transfer RNA (tRNA) molecules are approximately 80 nucleotides in length. Lineage: Eukaryota; Metazoa; Arthropoda; Insecta; Diptera; Calliphoridae. The record is from Rfam by way of RNAcentral.